UCGGCAGGUCGUUCUAUCGCUCAAGAAAUUGGGAGGAAAGUCCGGACAAGAUAGGGCAUUGCACUGUGGAAAGCACAGACGGGCGAAAGUUCGUGCAAGGGGUAACAGAAAAUAACCGCCGCAAGGUAAGGGUGAAAACGCGAGGUAAGGGCUCACGGGUAGAUACGGCAACGUACUUACAGUACUCCACUGCAACUUGCAAGGCCAUGUAUACCAACAUUCAAGGGUUGCCCGCCCGUUGUUGGGGGGUAGGCUGCAUCAGAUAAAUGAUAGAAACUUCUUAGGGUAGCAAUACCAGUCUGAAGUACAGAAUCCGGCUUAUAGAUCUGCCCAAAAU
Molecule: RNase P RNA, 337 nt
Filed under: Bacteroidales bacterium
Lineage: Bacteria; Pseudomonadati; Bacteroidota; Bacteroidia; Bacteroidales
Description: RNase P RNA component class A
Rfam family: Bacterial RNase P class A
About the family: Ribonuclease P (RNase P) is a ubiquitous endoribonuclease, found in archaea, bacteria and eukarya as well as chloroplasts and mitochondria. Its best characterised activity is the generation of mature 5'-ends of tRNAs by cleaving the 5'-leader elements of precursor-tRNAs.
Source: RNAcentral